Molecule: ribosomal RNA, 1275 nt
Filed under: Agaricus sp. 2E6
Lineage: Eukaryota; Fungi; Basidiomycota; Agaricomycetes; Agaricales; Agaricaceae
Description: eukaryotic LSU rRNA
Rfam family: Eukaryotic large subunit ribosomal RNA (bases 656-1275)
Source: RNAcentral
CAUUAUUGAAUUAUGUUUUCUAGAUGGGUUGUAGCUGGCUCUUAGGAGCAUGUGCACGCCUGUUUGGAUCUCAUUUUCAUCCACCUGUGCACCUUUUGUAGUCUUUGUUGGGUAUUGAGGAAGUGGUCAGCCUGUCAGCAUUGCUGGAUAUGAGGACUUGCAGUGCGGAAGCAUUGCUAUUCUCUACUUGGCCACGGAAUCUUUUUCCUUUCAAAGUCUAUGUUAUUCAUUAUACCCUAUAGAAUGUUAUUGAAUGUCUUUACAUGGGCUUCUAUGCCUAUGAAAAUUGUAAUACAACUUUCAGCAACGGAUCUCUUGGCUCUCGCAUCGAUGAAGAACGCAGCGAAAUGCGAUAAGUAAUGUGAAUUGCAGAAUUCAGUGAAUCAUCGAAUCUUUGAACGCAUCUUGCGCUCCUUGGUAUUCCGAGGAGCAUGCCUGUUUGAGUGUCAUUAUAUUCUCAACUCCCCUAUACUUUAUUGUAAAGGAGAGCUUGGAUUGUGGGGGUUUGCUGGCCACUUACUGGGGUCAGCUCCUCUGAAAUGCAUUAGCGGAACUGUUUGCGAUCUGCCACAAGUGUGAUAAAUUAUCUACACUAAAGGGGGAUUGCUCUCUAUGUUCAGCUUCUAAUCGUCUUAGUGACAAUUUCUUGAAUGCUUGACCUCAAAUCAGGUAGGACUACCCGCUGAACUUAAGCAUAUCAAUAAGCGGAGGAAAAGAAACUAACAAGGAUUCCCCUAGUAACUGCGAGUGAAGCGGGAAAAGCUCAAAUUUAAAAUCUGGCGGUCUCUGGCCGUCCGAGUUGUAAUCUAGAGAAGUAAUGCCCGUGCUGGACCGUGUAUAAGUCUCCUGGGAUGGGGCGUCAUAGAGGGUGAGAAUCCCGUCUUUGACACGGACUACCAGUGCAUUGUGGUAUGCUCUCAAAGAGUCGAGUUGUUUGGGAAUGCAGCUCAAAAUGGGUGGUAAAUUCCAUCUAAAGCUAAAUAUUGGCGAGAGACCGAUAGCGAACAAGUACCGUGAGGGAAAGAUGAAAAGAACUUUGGAAAGAGAGUUAAACAGUACGUGAAAUUGCUGAAAGGGAAACGCUUGAAGUCAGUCGCGUUGACUAGGGAUCAGCCUUGCUUUUGCAUGGUGUACUUUCUGGUUGACGGGUCAGCAUCAAUUUUGACCGCUGGAAAAGGGCCUGGGGAAUGUGGCAGCUUCGGCUGUGUUAUAGCCCCUGGUUACAUAGCGGCGGUUGGGAUUGAGGAACUCAGCACGCCGCAAGGCCGGGUUUCG